This 40159-nucleotide long non-coding RNA is filed under the name Selaginella moellendorffii. RNAcentral describes it as "long non-coding RNA (SMOE_LNC000610)". Lineage: Eukaryota; Viridiplantae; Streptophyta; Lycopodiopsida; Selaginellales; Selaginellaceae. The record is from RNAcentral.
UUGUGUUUGGUGCCAAGCUCGUAAUACUCCCCCUUGUACUGCGGAAGGAUGGUUUGAGUCAAUUGCAGUUAUGUAGCGCAUCUUAUCUCUCUCCCCUUAAACCAACUGGAAAAUGGGCAAUUGCUUGAUGAGAGAGCCCUUAGUGGCUAUUUUAUCCCCAUUUAUCCCCCAACUCCCCCUUGUACUGCGGAAGGACGGUUGGAGUCAAUUGCAGUUUUGUAGCGCACCUUAUCUCUCUCCCCUUAAGCUAAUUGGAAAAGGGGCAAUUGCUUGAUGAGAGAGCCCUUAGUGGCUAUUUUAUCCCCAUUUAUCUCCCAAGGUUCCAAGGAUCCACGGUGACAAUAUAUCCAAAUCUCAUCCCAUGAUCACAUGCGCUACACUCACCCCCCUUUCAGAGAUGUCAAUGUCCUCAUUGACUAUUGACUAACAACCCCUACUGAGCCAAGGGGAACCAGCACCUCCAUUUCCGCACUCAAUCUACCAGCUAUUCCAUGUGAGGCAACUAGUCAUCCACCCGUACCGCAGUCCCACGGUGGAUACCUUCGUCCGUGGAUACACCACACAAGAGGAAGGACGUACGCAUGGAUGCCCAAUACGUACGAUUUCAAAUUUAGGGGUAGGAAUAUACCUUGCUCAAGGGUAUAUUAUACUUUUAAGUAAUCACUAAUCAAUGGGAAUCGAACCCGUGCCAUUUGCUUCGAUACCAACUGUAGCGCACCUUAUCUCUCUCCCUUUAAGCCAACUGGAAAAGGGGCAAUUGCUUGAUGAGAGAGCCCUUAGUGGCUAUUUUAUCCCCAUUUAUCCCCCAAGGUUCCAAGGAUCCACAGUGACAAUAUAUCCAAAUCUCAUCCCAUGAUCACAUACGCUACAAGUUUCCCGUCCAUUUGAGUUGGUGGCAUUUGAUCUCAUAGGACCUUUUCCACGGUUGAUUGCUGACAAUGAGUAUGUUAUUAUUGCUUCUGACUACUUGACUCGUUGGGUGGAAGUUGGUGCUCUUGCUAGUGCUUUUGCAACUGAUGUUGGAUACUUCCUCCUCAAUCGAGUGGUGUUCCAGCAUUCUUGUCCAGAGCAAAUUCUUUUGGAUAAUGGUCUUGCAUUUAUGGUUGAGGCAUUUCAUAUUUUGACAUCUCAGUUGGGGAUACGCUACACUUUCACGAGUGUUUAUCAUCCACAAUCAGACAAUCUGGUGGAAUGGCUCGUUCGGAUAUUCAAAGGGAUGAUAGUGAAGUAUAUGAACUUUUAGCAUUCGGAUUGGGAUGGUUAUUUGCCGUCUCUUUGGUAUGCCUAUGUCAUAGGGGUGUAGAGUUCUAUUAGUGCUUCACCAUACAAACUUAUAUAUGGUCAUGAUCCAAUAUUACCAAUGGAGCUAGGUUUACCUUUGCGAUUGCCACAAGCUCCUGAUGCUAGGUCGUGGGAUCAAUAUUUGAUGAGCAUUCUUCCACUUGUCUAAGCAGAGUUUGCCGAACACUUAGGCCGCGUACAAGUGGGACAAUAACGGUGCUACAACUCCCAUCAUCAUCCACCAGCAGAGUACAAAGUGGAUGAUUUAGUGUUAGUCCGUUUUCCCCAUAUUACGGUACAUUGUUUAUCUAAGGGGCUCUUUGCACAAUGGAAAGGACCGUAUCGGGUGUUACAGCAAGUUGGACUGCAAGUUUAUGAACUUUGGCAUGACGUUCAACAGGCUGAUCCUCUGAAGAUUGUGCAUGUGCAGCGGUUAAAACGCUUCAUACAAAGGGAUCAAGAGUAAUUAAUACCAUCUACAGAUCCGCCAAUGCCUCCUCCUAACGUUCCUCCAAAUCCCAGCAUGUCUACAAGAGAACUCUGAUGGCCUUCCAUUAUUCUGAGAGCAGAGGAUGAUGUGAGGGCCAAGUAUACGGCUACGAUGCGGUAUAUUAAUAUUAGCGUAAUAAGAUUUUAGUAGCUGUCAGAUUGGUUUCAAUCCGGACCAUUCAUUCUUGUAUAUAAGCUAAGGUUUUUAAGCUAAUUGUAUUCCCUUUCCACACUCACAGCACUAAAUUUAGAGAGAAAAAAUGUUGUAAUGUAUAUAAUUUAAGAUUAAUCUAAAUGAUGAUAAAUAUAUUAGGAUACACAGGAGAUGCCGGUGUGUUAAAUUAAAGGAUAUUCUAGGUACCCAUCUUGCAAACCAAAAUUUAGCUUUGGACGAUCAUCUUAUUGAAAGAAAUUCAGGCAAGCAUUCUUUUGAUUGCCUAAAGUUUGCUCUUUUCUAGAGAGAGUUUUGGUCUAAUGCUUCAGUGAGACCAUGUAAACCGUCUGAAUAAAUGAAUGAAUUAAUGAGUGGAAAAAAGAGCAGAGAAACAACUUGAACGUCAAGGUAAAAAAUAAACACUUCCUCUCUUUACUUGGGUAUCUUUUUUUUUCUUGCCUGCUCUCAAGCUCGUCCGGCUUGUCCCCAGCAGCUCCAGGGUACUCUUCUGAAGCCACCAGCUUGUAACACCAAGAAGACGUUGUGUGUUGCCUGCCAACAAUUCUCUCUCUCCUAGCUUCUUGGCUGUGUUAGAAUCCGCCUCUAAUCUUCUUCUAUGCUCUCUUAGCUCUUUGUUGUGGUUGUUGCCACCACCAUUUGCAAAAUCAUACAAAAGGAUUCUCAUUUAACAUAUAGCUUUCUAAGCUUUGUGGAGCUAGCCAGCACAAGUUACCAGAAAUCUUUCUUGGCCACACCAACUCACUGGAUACCUCCUUCAACAGUUCUCUCAUGCUAGGAUCUGUGUUUUCACAGUUGAUCAAAAGCAAGUCAAACAUUUCUUUCCUACAACACUACAAAGGGCUAAGCUUGGCAUCGAGCCUCACCACUUGAAAAUCAUAGUUCCAUUUUCCACAGUUCAAACUUUGAGCUAAACUUAUAACUGGAUAGGGUCAUAUUUAAAAGAUAUAACAAUAAAGUAUCUUAUUAUGGUGGUAGUGAUAUCACAUCAUCGCUAUUGCGAUAGCUCGUCCCCAGCCGCUUAACCCUUCUCUUGGUCUCUCCUGGUAUGCUCUCGUCUCACAAACUGCUGCAGAACAUGUUACUACGAUCGAUUGAUGAUCAAAUUGCAAUAUAUCCCACAUGCUUGUAAGUAUACCACCUCGCACACAAGACAUAUAUCCCAAGGUUGAUAGAAUUGUCAGCAGCCAGUAGAAGUACUCAAUGUGAGCCCUGUUGAGAUUGUCAUUGAUCCAGUUGCCGUCAACGCGGCCACCUUUUGUACUUGUAAACUUGACCACCAUCUCCACGAGCAAGCUGCUAAUGAAGCUCCCGAUGGAGAUGGUGCUGAGAUAGAGCGCCACUCCAAUGCUUCGCAUGGAAUCCGGGGCUUGAUCGUAGAAGAACUUGUUCUGGCCGACGGAGAUGAAAACCUCGCAAACUCCCGUGAGCGCGUACUGGGACAAGAGCCAGAAUGCGCUCAUCGGGACCGUCGACUGGGGGCGAUCCAAAACCGUGUUGCCUAGCCACUCGCAAGCGCUUCAUCUCCACCAGCGCGGCGAUGGCGAUGGAGACCGUGGAGAUGACCUGGCCGAUCCCAAUGCGCUGGAGCAUCGUGAUCCCUCGCUCGUUCCCCGUGAUCCGGCGCGCGAAUGGCACAAAGUAGCGGUCGUAGAGCGGCAUGAUGAUGCAAAUGGUGAGGGUGAUGAAGAGCGUGAAGGAGGCGGCUGGGAUCUGGAAUCGCCCCAGAUGCCGCUCCAUGGUGUCGCCCUGGUUGAGGAAUAAGGUGCCCACCUGGGCGAAGACGCUGCUAAAGAUGAGGUUCGUGAACCAGAUGGGCAUCACUCGCACUAGGAGCUUCACUUCCUCGACUUGCGUCACUGGGCACAGGCUCCACGGCUUCACUUCCUUGCUCUGCAGAUCCUUCUCGCUCACCACCGCCGCCUUGUUCAGGAAUCUGCUCGCGAUCAAUCGUAGUAAGCUAAGAUUGUUCUUCUGGACUUACGUGAAUUCUUUACUCCUGGGAUGUGUGGGAACUGCGCCUCCUUGUCGCUCAGCUCGUACAGCUUCUCAUUGUCGUCUGGAACGCUCACAUUCCACUUCCUGGUGGCCGCCACCAGGACCUGAGCGACGCGGGUGAAGGAACUUCCAGCGGGCUUUUGGGUGCGAUAGUUUGAUCUCCCGGAGAAGAAGAGGAGGGUGGCGAGGGCGACGACAGCGGUAGCGCCGCCUCAUCCCCACGUCCAUCCGUAAGUCACCUGGAUGUAGACGAGGGCAGUGACCGAGAACUUUGAUUGUUUUCGCAGGUAGAGAGCAAGAUGGAAGCCAAAGAGGAAAAGAAGCGAUUGAAAGCACAAGUAAAAGCCGAGGAGAAGCAGAAAAGGAAGGCACUGAAGAAGAAAAUGAAAGAGAACGGUGAAGCUGGCGAGCCAGAAGCAAAGAGAGCUGAGCGAAGCAGAAGAGCUGCCGAGGAGGAUGACGAUGGAAACAAAGGAGCUUCCGAUGAGGAUGACAGGUAUAGCAGGAGGAAAAGAUCUGCCGAGGACAGCGACGGGGAAGACAGGCAUAGAAACAAAAUAGGUGCUUCUUCGCGGGAUGAUCGAGAAGAUCGCAGCAAAAGAAUUCCCGAGAGAGACGAGCAAGACAGGUACAGAAGCAACCAAGUUCGCGAGGACGAUGAUAGGAGAAGUAGAAAGCGGGAGAGACACGAUAGCCCAGACGUGAAUGAUCGGCAUCGCAGGCACGAAGACAGGCACAGGGACAGGGAGGAAAACCGCGACUCCGGCAAGCCACCGCUGCCGAGGAAGAAAGUCCAGCUGAGCGAGGAGGAGAGAUGCAGCAGGACGCGGAGCUCCACGAGGAGCAGCGGUGGCAGCGGAUCAAACGCGCCUCGGCGAGCGACGCUGUCCAGGAGGAGAAGGACUCGAUCAAGUCGGGGAAGAACUUCCUGGACGAGACGAACAGGAGUGUUUAUGGCACCGAGAAUGGAGGCAGUGCCUCGGUCGCGGAUACUUUGCAUCGGCGAUCGCACUACCGCGAGAAGUUCACGCGUUUAGGCGAUCAUAGAGAUGAUCGCGUAGAGAUGGCAAAGAAACCUUUUGGGUGUAAACCAUCAUCGACUAAAGAACCAUUUGAAGUUCUUUUAGUAUGAGAGGUCAUGGAAUUUAUUGACAAUUGGAAGAAUCAUCGAUGAAUGGAGCCUUUUCAUUUCUAUCGCUAGUAUCUAGUGCCAGGGAUGAGAGUAUCGAAGAAGUGGAGCCUUGGGUCUUGAUGCUGUGGGAUACAACCACUGCCCAUCACUCCUCCCCCUUGGUUCUUGUGAUCCUGAGCUUGGAUCUUGCUGCUUGCCCCUUGGUUGUGCGCUCCUGACGAGGGAUCCUGGUGGAAUUGCUCUUGAUCUGGCGAAUUCGCGGAGGAGGAAGGCGAGUCGUGAUGGAAGUGAUGGACUCGAGCCUCGUAGAUCGCUGCAGUGGCCGUGGCAGCCGCCAUAGUUGCCAUAGAUUUGAAGUAAGCCAUAGAUCCUGUAAUCUAUAGCAUAGAAUUGACGCGAAUUGGAGGAGAGGAUCUGGAUGCUAGCGCUACUGGCUACCGGAUUGAUCGAUCGAUCGAUCGAAUUGGAGGGAGCGGAGAUGGGAGGGGAUGAGAUCGCAGAGCACAGGCUGUGCCACCAAACGAGGAAUGGUACUUUUAUUGCGUCAAUCGAAAGCGUGGAGCCAGGCGUGGUCAAGAACACACGCUAGUGGCAGCGAAUCUAUGCAAGCCACGUGUCUUUUUGUGCGUACGCGGCGAGAUUCCAGCCCCUUGACGCGCCAGUUUUUUCUAGAAAUUGAAAAGCGUCUUGAUUGGAUUUUUCCCAAUCAAACUUCGAGGAUUUGAUUGAGAGUGAUCAGCAUCAAUUGGAUUGGAUCAUCCAGGACCCUCUUGUGAAAUUCUGCUCUAUGCUGGUUUUAUCUCUGGAUUGAGAUAGUUAUCCUUACCUCAAAACCAAGUUUUCAGAAUUGGUUGUACAAGUGAUUGGUGUGCGGUUUGCUGUUUGGAUCAUUUCUGAGGGAUUUCGCUUUGUGUAGAACAGUGUGCCCCUGGAAAGUCUGAAAUUUCUUAGUUUUGAAGUGUGGCGGGACUAGAUUCUUAGAUGCUGGCAAAAAAUUCUCUCCAUCUAAUGUAAAUUCAGUACUAGCAAACAUAAUAUGCGAUUCCCACUGGCAAAGCUUUUGUACUGGUGUGAUUUCACGGUUUGAAGAAUCUUUACCGAUCGCGAUCGCGUAUUAAUUUAUAGCCCCACUUUCGACAUGCAUGUUUGAAUUUUACAAAUGGAAAUCCCAAAGUUGCAAAGACGAUGGUGGUGUAGGUCAAGACACUAAUCUCCGAAUCGAUGAUUGUUUCAAGGCACUAGCCAAGAUUGCAUCAACAGAUAUGCUUUUUUUCUCAUAGAGAGCAAUGUAUGGUCAAGAGGUUUUAUUGGAUGGAAUAAAAAAGUGUAGCAAUCUAUCUGCAGCUUGUAAGCUUCACAAUGACAUCAAGCACCUCCUUGCGGCAGGAGAUUGUUUGGCAUCCAAUUUUCUGGUGCAAAUGUAUCGGAGGUGUGGAUGCCAUCUAGAUCGAGGAAUGGAAUGCCAUGCCGCAUCAAACAGCUAUCUUGACCAAGCAAAGCAGUUGUUUGAUCGAAUGGAACCUUGCUUCAUGGUGGAACAUGCCUUCUCUCGGCAUGGCUUACUCCUGUUUUUGAUUCCAUGAGAUGAAUGCAAUGAUAGUAUGACACAAACGGGCAUUUGGAUAAAGCAAUGUAUCUUUGAGCUUAUGCCGGAAAGGAGCUAAUCUCUUUAUCAAAGACCACCGACAUAUGCCAAUUAAGGACUCUGUUUAUGCCGAGAGAUCUUGUUUCUUGGAACUCUCAUGCCCAAGCUGGGCAUUUUCAGGAGGCGAAGAACAUCUUUUCCAACAUGCCAGAGUUUGCUCCUCUGUCUUUCACGCCCAUUCAGUGCGUUGGCCACCCUCAUAAGGAUUUGGUUGCGUCUACUGCUCUGCUUGUCAUCUUGGCGGAGAGUGGCUGCUUCACGCAGAUCACGACGACAGUCGAGGCUGAGCAGAAUUUUUACAGCAUGCAGCGUUUAUGCUGCGCUUGUAUUCUCAAGAACGGACUCAUGACGCCGAAGCCAUAUAUUUAGGUCUGCCUGAUCAAGGCGAUCAUUUAGUCCGGCAACAUCUAAAGAAUCUCUUUGAUGAAUGACGAGACGAGGUUACGUGGACCGCCAUGCUGACAGGGUAUGUUAACUACCAGAAGUUGGAGGAAGCGUUCGAAACAAUGCCGAUCACAGCGUAGAUUGUGCUCAUAGCCGAAUCCUACGUGGACUACAUGGCAAAAAAUUUUGCUCCAUAAAGGUUGAUUUGCCAAUAAAUCUCAGCGUUUCUACUUCAAGAAACUAAUUUUUAGAAUGGGUGUGCGAUUGAUAGUUUCCAUUGUUGCCUCGCUUGCUGCUUUGAUCAUUCCUAAAACAUUUGGGUGUGGGGAUUUCUCACUUACUUGUAAUAUAUUUAAAUCAAGCGCAACCAAAAUUCAUUUAAAAUGGUGUCUCCCUGGAAAAUCUAAGAUUUAUCUGGACUUGGACAAUCACAUCCACAAUGAUAAUGGGAAUUUAAAGUGUGGCGGGGCAAAUUUCUUAGAAACAUGCACGCCCAUAGGUUACAGAUAUAACAAUGAAACCAUUUCAAGGUUGGUCUACUAUGCGACGUGCCAAGACAACAGUGGUGCGAAUCAUGAAACUAAUCUCCGACGAUGAUUGUUUCUACAACAACCAAGGAACCAUCCAAGAUUGUGCAUGAUUAUGUGGUUUUUUCUAACAGAGAACCAUGUUAACACUAGAUUGUCGAGAGCUUUUGUUGGAUGCAAUAAAGAAGUGUACCAAUCUAUCCACAGCCUCUAAGCUUCACAAUGAGAUUCAGCACCUCCUCGCGGCAGGAGACUGCUUGGCAUGCAAUUUGGUGGUGCAAAUGUAUGGGAGGUGUGGAUGCCCAGAAGCAGCAUGGCAAAUCUUCCGCGGCUCUACAUCACGGAAUCGAUUCUCGUGGAAUGCCAUGCUCUCUGCCUUCGCAUCAAACAGCCAUCUUGACCAAGCAAAGCAGUUGUUUGAUCGAAUGCCCGAAUGGGAUGUUGCUUCAUGGUCGAUCAUGAUCACUGCCUUCUCUAGGCAUGGCUUACUCCUACAGGCAAAAGAAGUUUUCGAUUCCAUGAGAGAGAGAGAGGCCUUGUAGCAUGGAAUGCAAUGAUCUUAGCAUAUGCCACAAACGGGCAUUUGGAUAAAGCAAUGUAGCUCUUUGAGCUGAUGCCAGAAAGGAGCUUAAUCUCUUGGACCACAAUUCUAUCCAAAUCUACCAGCUUGGUUCAAGUAACGACACUCUUCAGCUCCAUGCCUGAGAGAGAUCUUGUUGCUUGGAACUCUCAGCUAUCAGCACUUGCCCAGGCUGGGCAUUUGCAGGAGGCGAAGGGCAUCUUCUCCAACAUGCCAGAAUUUGAUGCUCUGUCUUUUAUGUCCAUGAUUCAGUGCUUUGGCCAGCACGGGCUUUUGGAAGAUGCCAAGUGUUUCUUCCUCGCGCUGCCUCACAAGGAUUUGGUUGCCUCCACGGUUUUGCUUGUCGUCUUGGUGGAAAGUGGCUGCUUUCACGAGGCAAAGAAUCUGUUUGAGUCGAUGGAGUGUAUAGAUGUGGUUUCAUGCGCGGUAAUCCUGUCCGCUUACGCAGAUCACGACGACAGCAGCAUCGCGGAGGCUGAGCAAAUUUUUUACAACAUGCAGCGCCAGAACGCGUUUGCUUGCACUGCAAUGCUGCGCUUGUAUUCUCGGCGAGGACGGACUCACGACGCCGAAGCCGUAUAUUUAGGUCUGCCUGACCAAGGCGAGCAUUUAGUCCCGGCAACCGCUCUCAUUACAGCAUAUGCUUGCAACGGGUAUCUGGAAAAAGCAAAGAAACUCUUUGAUGGAAUGAAGGAGCGAAACGAGGUUACGUGGACUGCCAUGCUGACAGGAUAUGUAAACAACACAGGAUAGAAGACGCCCUGUGGAUUUUCGAAAAAAUGCCGGGUCACAGCGAGAUACCGCUGACGGCAUAUGCCCGAAGUGGACAUAUGCUUUUUGCUAAGAGAAUUUUUGACAACUCCAAUGAAAAGAGUGCUAUUGCUUUUAAUGCUCUCUUAUCUGGUUUUUCAUCAAAUUCGCAGUUACUGGAAGCCAAAAGUGUGUUCGAUUCAAUCCAAGAAAGAAACCAAUCUUCAUGGAGUGCAAUGCUUUCUGCAUAUACCCUAAACGGGCAUUUGGAUAUGGCAAAUCGGAUAUUCUUAGCAAUGCCGGACAUGGUCACUACCAAUACACCUGAUGAAGCUAGCUUAACAGCUUUGCUCACGUCAUGUGCUCACAAAGGCACUGCUGCCAUAGCUCGGGAUCUCUUUGUGUCUUUCCAGUUUGAUCACUCCAUCAAACCCUCAAAGCAACACUACUCUUGUAUGAUUGGUGUCCUUGUCCGGUCAGGGUAUAUCCAAGACACUGAGAAUCUUCUGUGGGAGAUGCCAUACUACCCAGAUUCCAUGGAUUGGAAGUGCUUGCUUGGAGCUGUAGUGAGUGGAGAUGCAAUGAAAAAUGCCAUUAGUGUGGAGCCUAGUAAUAGUGCUCCAAAUGUUCUUAUUGCCAAUUCUCACAUAGUUACAUAGCUUAGAUAUUUUCAAGAGAUUAUAUCAAUUUUUACAACUAUAUCAAAUUUUCUUACAAGGUGCCAUGGUUUUGGUUGGCUAUUUGAUCGGCAUUUAUAAAGAUCCCAUGGAAUCCAUAUGGAACUCCAGCAAGCAACUCUAUAAAAGCCACUGUCUCAAGCAUGGGCAUUUGGCAUCCAUGACCAAAAGCUCCAAGACACCAUUUUUCUCAUCAUGGACGUAGCUUAAGACAUAUCCAUCGCCUUCCUCCUCGCCAUUCGCCACAAAACUUACCACGUUCGAAUCUCCUCGACGCCACAAUGCAUGGCUCCUUGAGGUCCAGGUCACUUGUUCCAUCAAUUACCACCUUGGGCAGCCGUGGAGCAUCCAGAUCGACCUUGGCCAGGCCGGAGAAUCUGGGCCAUGGCCCAUAGUAGCGCAUGUAGACGUACUGGUUCUUCUGCCCCAGGAAUUUCUGGUUGAUCUUUCCAAAAUCCAGUCCCGCCGAGCACAUGUGUUGCUUCCACGACCAUCCAGAUUGAAGGUCCAGGUGGAGCUCGUGCAAUCUGUUGGACAAUCCGGCGAAAUCAUCAAACAGAUGUUCUACUGGCACAAUGGAUGAGCUGAGCACGACGAUCUUGUCCGUCCCUUCCUCCCAGGCGUGGAUGUAGUGGAAUUACAUCCAAUCCAGGACGUCAAUCCAGAAGAUCCUACGGCCGGGAUGCCAAAUCUGGGACCCUUUUGGGCAGUAUCUCCAUCAAUGACCAGUUUGUUCUCGAGCACUACAUCCUGGAAAUUCAUCUCUUUUCCUUCUGUCUGGGCUUGCCCAGAAGUAAUGGAGGUGGGGAUUGAUCACUGAAGUUAACCAACCAAAGAUUUCUAUUUUUGAUGAGCACACGUGAAAUCUAGGCUAUUAUUCAUGUAAAAUCUAACCUUGGGCUUCACUAAUCUGCCUACUACCUCCUAAUGCAUUUUUCAAUGUAAUCCUCACCUAGUUGUUAGUGAGUGGUUGAACCAUUUGAUGUGGCAGUUAACUGAGGUGUAUGCAUGGCAAGAGUAAAGUGAGGGGUUAUGCACUAAAAAUCUCACAAUGGGUAUUUAAGAUUAUGUAUGCUAUUAUAUGUGGGAUUUUGGGCAAAAAAUAUAUAUGUGCAUUAUUCUAAAAUAAAGUUACAGUGCUAAGAAUUUUAUAUAAAAUUUUAGGAAGAAUGAUUUGAAUUUCAUUAGAUAGAGUUGUGGUACAUAGUGAAGUUUUAGUGAUUUUUUGUUUUCAUUGUCAUUUUCAUUAACAAUUCUAGUUAUUCCUAAUAUGUAUUUUUGCCAAAUUGAUUUAUUUUAAAAUUGUUCUAGUUUUUUAUUCUAGGAAUUUUGGCUUAUAAUUUGUACUUUAAAUCACUAGUGCUCCUAUUGGACAAUGCUCUUGUUAGCUAGUGUUGCAAUUAUGUUGUGAAUCUCAUUUAAACUCAUGUUAUAGAGUCAACAAUAGUGUUAUAAAUUUGGUAACUUCUUCUUGAGUACCUCUCAUCUUGAGUAGCCAUCCUAUGAACUUUUUGAGAAAUAAUUAUAAAAAGUUUAGUGAAGUAUCUAACUUAUAGUUCUGGUGUUGUGUGUGAUACGAACCACAAGAUGAGAGGUACUCAAGAAGAAGUUACCAAAUUUAUAACACUAUUGUUGACUCUAUAACAUGAGUUUAAAUGAGAAUCGUGGAAUGGAAAUCAUUACUGAAUGCUUGUGAUAGUCAAGAGGUUGAUUCUUAGUUAGAAUUGUAGGAAGUUGUUAAUCUCACAAUCUUUGUGAGGAUAAAGUGAAGAUAGAUUUUUUUGUGACAAAGUUUACAAGCCAUUCUUCUUUAUAGUGGAAGAACUACAUCAAAGCUAAUCCAAAGCCACACUUCAUUUGUCAAGAAGUUUGAACAAGUUGAUCUCGUAAAUCAGCUAUUAGAGAUUCGGUAGGGCACUUUGUUUUUGGAUGUGUAUGCCCGCAAGUUCUGUGAUCUUUGCCUUAGUUUCACAGGCACCUAUAAUUAAUUGUUAAACAUGCAAUGUUUCAUCAAAGGAUUGAAUUCAAUAGAUGUGCAGUAUAAGGUCAAGAAGGAUUUUCUAGCAACAUUGACUAAUGCUAUCACUAAGGCUCAGAUCUUUUUGCCCAAACCGUUAGUCAACUUGUUCAACUCCAGUCAAUGGGAUGGUCUACAGGGUGAUAACUAACUUGCCAAUGCUUCAUAUUUGAGGAAGAAACAGCUGUUGUUCCAUUGUGGCUCGAAGCAUAAAGAUGGCAGUAAGGCUAAGAAACUUCGUUUGGACCAACAAAAGAAGGACAAGGUAGAAAGCAAUUGUUUUUGUUGCCAUAAGGCUGGACAUCAGAGCAAAGAUUGUUCUAAAGGGGUCAAUAAAUGAUAAAGUGACUGUGAUGGAAGUUAAAGGCAAUGAUGUGAGUGAUAGUGUUUUUAGGGCUGCAUUACUUCAAGUUAGGCAUUCAUGAGCCACAAAUUUGAUGCCAUAUAGUGGAAUUAACCUAAUCACAACAAAGAGUUGUAUAUUGUGAUUGUUGCUGUGAAAGAAUGGCAAUAUUAUUUGUAUGGAUCAAGCUUCCAUAUCGAUUUUGUUCAUCAAUCUUUCUAGAUGUGGAUCUUCGAGGCCACCUUGCUCGUUGGCAAGAGUUCCUGCAGGAAAUAUCAAUUAAGAUCCAGUACAAGCAUGGAGGUGACAAUAAAGUGGUUGAUGCAUUAUCCAAGAUGGUAAAUUCUAUUUCAUUCGUAAAGCUAUUUAGCAAUCUCUUGGAUGAGCUUAAGGAGUUUGUUGACUUCAACUCCUUUAUCAUUGAUAUUUGUGCUAAAGUUUUGUUGAGGGACCCCUCUACAUAUUUGAAGGGUGACAAGUUUGCAUCAUUUGAGAUAUGAGAUGGAAUCCUAGUGAAGAAGGGACAUAUAGUGGUUCUUCGUGUUGACAAACUCAUCAAACGGAUUUUGGUUGAGUGUCAUGAUGUGCCAAGUGCUGGGCAUUCGGGGGUAUUAAGAACAUAUAUAUUGGUGAAGAGGUAUUUCUUUUGGCCUGGGAUGAAGUCAGAUGUUGAGAAGUACAUACGUGGUUGUUUGACUUGCCAAUUGGUCAAAGUUAAUCAUUAGAAGCUUAUCAUUCUUUACGUAUACCCAAGAAUAAGUGGGAUAACAUUUCAAUGGACUUUAUCAUUAGUUUGCCCAAAACCUUUCGAGGAAAUGAUGCUAUUUGGGUGUAAGUGACUAAAUUUUCCAUUUUACUUUAGUCACUUAACCACGCCUUCAACCAUUUGGAAGAGUCUCACUCACAACCUUUGUAAGUCCUAUUUUGGACUUAAGGACUUGCUAGCCCCAAGAAUGGCAUCCAUGCCACUCAACCAUUGCACUUGGUCUAAGUGCUCCACGUGUCUGAUCCCAUGACCGACACCCCAAAGUACCACUGACAUCUCUGCCUGUUACGCUAAGGUUAUGCCCCUUCACCUUGGUCACACUGGUGGUCUAACACCACCUACAUCACAGUCCCGUUUCUCAAAGACUUGGCUAUCCAUCCAUGAGUGAUCAUCCCAGAUCCACUCCUUAGUAUCCUUAGGAUGCCCGCAGGCAUAGGGAAUAACCUUCCCUAAUAUCCCUUUUGCGAUCCCCACUAAGUCCUUUUCUGUCCAUGGCCGUGUUUGCCAACACUGGCACUGGAUCAAGGCCCACGGGCCCGACCACUAAGUCCCAUGGACCUCUGGGACUUCCUCACUGUGUGACUGUGCGCUUGGUCACCACACCAGAGGGCUACUCCUCUUCCUUUCCAUAGUUUGGGCUUUUGGGAUAACAUUUCGGAACACCGUAGCCCUACGUGAACCUCAUGGGUACUCUCCUCGCCUUCCGCCUUUGGGUGCUCUAGCCAUGGGCUUAGAGCGAGGUUCCAUUGAGCCACGCUAGGUAUCCAAGUAGGUAAUGCCACCCACACUUGGACUAGGAGCAUCGACCAUUCGAUCUCCUAGGGGAAUUAGAGCCGGCUCUUGAACACUUCACCAAGCGACCCCGCUUGUCGGUCCGUAUUCACUCUAGUCUUGGACUUCCUAGUGGUUAUCCCAUCACCCAACACCUGGGUAUAACCUUUCUAGGACAAACUAGCCUUUCCUGGCCAAACUGGCUCCAUUGGAGUCCUCCCCCUACUAUACUUUUGGAGCUCACCAAACCCCCCAAGGUCUAGGAGACAAACGCUUUGGGCUUUCACCCUCUCAAACUUGAACUCGGACUCGGACUCGAACUCAGACUCAGACUCGAGCUUGGGCUCGGUCUCGGUCUCGGCCUCGGCUUCGGUCUCGGUCUCGGUCUCGGUCUCGGUCCCGGUCUCGGUCCCGGUCCCGGUCUCGGUCUCAGUCCUGGUCCCGGUCUUGGUCUCGGUCUCAAUCUCGACUUCGGACUCCAUCUCAGGUCCUUCUCAGACUCCAUCUCGUGUCCAUCUCAGACUCCAUCUCGGUCCAUCUCGGACUCCAUCUCAGGUCCAUCUCGGACUCCAUCUCGGACUCCAUCUCAGGUCCAUCUCGGAUUCCAUCUUGGGUCCAUCUCGGACUCCAUCUCGGGUCCAUCUCGAACUCCAUCUCGGACUCCAUCUCGGGUCCAUCUCGGACCCCAUCUCUGACUCCAUCUCAGACUCCAUCUCGGGUCCAUCUUAGACUCCAUCUUGGUCCAUCUCGGACUCCAUCUCGGUCUUCAUCUCAGGUCCAUCUCGGACUCCAUCUUGGACUCCAUCUCGGGUCCAUCUCGGACUCUAUCUUGGGUCCCUUUUCUAGAGAUUCUCUUAUGGCUUGCUUCAUACUCGUUCCUUAAGCACUCUAUUGGGAGUUCCACUCCCGCUCUUGACCUUUCAAGUUGAAGUUUUUAGUCCAAACGUGUUAUGUUCGCUUGACUUUCGCUUCGGCCACUACCAUGUGGUGCCCUUUCGGCUCCACUUUGGGGCUUAGGGAUUUGUGUCUCACAUUGGGUUGUUAUGGAUUGUUUGAUGAAGAUGGCUUACUUCUUCCUUGUGAAGACAACAAUAAAAGCUUUUGAACUUACUUAAUUGUUUGUAAAUUAGUUAUUUAAUCUUUAUGGUUUGCCAGGUGACAUUGUGAGUGAUCAGGAUCCCAAGUUCAUGUCCAAGUUUUGGCAAACAGCCUUUGAGAAGCUAGGGACUAAGCUAAGCAUGAGUAGUGGUGAGUAUCCACAAUCUGAUGGGUAGAUAGAGCACAUGAAUCAGCUAUUAAAAGAUAUGCUAAGGUCUUUCAUGGGAAAUUUGACUCAACAAGGAGUAUAGGAGAAGUACUUGCCUUUGUUUUAGUUUGCUCACAAUAAUGCUCAUCAAUCAGCUAUUGGCAUAUCUCCUGUUAAGAGUGAGACAAAAGAUUUGCUAAUGAGCAUCGUCAUCAUCAAGAGUACAAAGUUGGUGACAAACUUUUCCUUAAGUUGUUGGAUGCACAACAGUCUCUGAAAGGAGGUGGCAAUGCUAAGUUGUCUCCAUAGUAUUGUGGGCCUUGGACAAUUUUACAGCGUGUGGGGGAUCUUGCAUACACUUUGGACUUGCUAGCUAGUUCGAAGAUUCAUUCAAUGUUCCAUAUGAGUAAGUUUAAAGCAUGUUUGAACUUUGGUGAUGUCGUGGAUCAGUCCAUCAUCCAGGUCCCAGAGAUUAAUACAAAGAAGGCUAGUCCGGCCAAUAUUCUUGCUCAAAGAUUGGUGAAAACAUGCCAAAAGACAAUUAAGGAGUUGUUAGUUCAGUGGAAUGGUUAUUCCAUGCACAAAGCUAUAUGGGAAAUUGAGGAUGACAUGAAGAGAGUGUUUCCGAGUUUUCAUUAUAACUUGGAUGACAUUCCUAAGGAAGGGGAGAAUUGAGUUUUAUAGCCGUAUUGCUAUAUAAUUUGAGCCAUUUGUUCUAUUCUCAUUCUCUUGUUUCUAUGACCGUAUUGUCAUUUGAGAAAGCUGUAUUGCUUUCUUUCUUUCAUGGCCAUUUGUUGUGAUGUUGGUGUUGUUGUUUGCACAUCUUUUCUUCAUGGUUGUAUUGCCUUGGACUCCCUUCAUAUGAGGCUCAUUUAGCUUCUUGAGGCUACCAUAUGUGGCUAAGUCAUGAGGGGGAGAAUAAAACAAACCACAAGAAUAUUUCAAGAAUAUUCCAUAGCUUGGGAUUUAAGACCGUAAUGCCUUAAGGGUUGGGAGGUUGGCCUAGGGUUUGCUCUCUUGUUCGUUUCAGUGUGAGUGAUGCAGAUCCCAUGGAAUGAGUGAAUCUUAAAGUAAAUAUGCCAGCUAUAUUGGUGUCACUGAUAGAAAUCUUAGUUUGCAAAAGAGAACUAAGUCUAAAGUGGUCACACUUGUUUAGGGUAGGAUCACUCAAAGGGUUAAAAAAACCUAUUAUAUACCUUUAGAGUAAAGGUUUAAUUGUUUUUUUAAAGUAUAUUCUUGGUGUUGCAUAAUCUAAAAUUUAAAUAUUAUUGGUUUUAAUAAAAGCCACUGAUCCAAUAAUUAAUUGAGAUGAAUAAACAAUUUGGAGAUCUUCUUUUCUCAAACCUUAUGUGUAUGGUUUUUGAGACAAUUUGAGUGUAAACAUAUUUGCUCAAGCCUUGUCAAAUGCAUUUCCACCUAUGAACAUGAUGGAUUUUAAGCUUAGUUGUUAAUGAGCUUCAUGGCAUCCUUGUGCAUAUGUUUCCUACUUGAGAAUAGGGGGUAAAGAAAAUAGAAAAAUGUUUCAAACCUCGAAAGAUGAGGAAGAACUACAAGCACAAGACAAAGUAAUGACACCACUUUCUUCCAUAAAUUUUUAAUCUCUCUAAAAAUUUCUAACCCUAGCAAGCAUUAAUCUAAGCUAAAUUCUUAGUGCUUAUGUCUUGUGAUGCAAUCUAGAACUGCUGUGACAACACACCCUAUAGCAAUGGUGUACCUUGGCAAACAAAAGUCUUUGCAAAUCUACAUUCCAUCCCCAGUAAUAGUUGGAAAUGCCAAAGCUACAAAAUUUCCCAAGAUUGAUCAAUCUAGAGAACAUUAUACUGUUUGGCACUUAAUGGUGUCCACCCUAAACCCUAGAUUUAACUUCAAACACUCAAACCAGGAGAUUAUUCCUGAAUAACUUUUGAGAUAAUUCCCAAACCUUGAUAAAGAAAUAAAUCAUUAGAUAAUGUCCCAAGAAAGAGAAUGCCACCACCAACUCUCACAGCUUGGAUUCCAAAGCCCAUAUGCUACUUAUUAUCACCAGGACUGAUGCAUCAAGCAACACAAAAAUACUUGAACAAUACCUAUUUAACAAAAGGAUGUUAGAACAAAGAAUGCCCCUUAAUCUUGCUUUUGAGAUCUGUGAAAUUUCUUCUUGGAUAAAUGGCAUCUACACAAAAACUUUAAGGAAUUAGCACUUAUACCAUUGAUGUUUAGGAAGAAAUUUAUAUAGCUUUGAUUAAUUAAAUUGGCUACCUUGUUUGAUGAAUGACUUUAACACAAUUUGAGAGCCACAUGAUUGCAUGUAUAUGACAAUGAGUGUUGUGGAUGAAGGUUCUUACUUAAGUUAUACUUCAUCUCUCUCUCUCUCUCUCUCUCUCUCUACAUUAGGCACAAUAGAUUGAAAUAGCAUGAUUUCCAUAAUAGGUGUUAAUGGUUGGGCAAGAAAGUCAAAAUUUGCUAGUCAUAGUCAAAGUAACAAAAAAAAAUUUCAAUUUAUGUUAUUUUAUUAAGGUCAUUUGCCUAGGCUAGUUGAUAUUUUAUGUAUUGCAUCAUGUAAAGGUGUUUUAUACAGAGAAGUUUUUAUUUUUUUUUACAUUUAUCCACUAAAAUAUAAAUAUAAAUGUUAAAUGAUAUUAUGAUAAAUAUAAAGUUGCUAUUUUGACUUUAUCCUGUAAUGUUGUGACUUUGGACUUGAAACUACACCUAACACAUGACUAAUAAAAAAUAAAUAAUAAAAAUAUAAAAAUAUAAAAUAUAAAAUAUAAUUAUAUAUAUAAUAUAUAAUUAUUAUAAACUAUAAUUAUAAAAUAAAAAAAAUCCCACCAUAAUCACCAAAUGAAGAGGUGUGGAAACUCCUCUUCGCUGGAAAUCUAUUGUUAGUAAGAAAACAAAAGAGAAAAAAGCCUAAUCUCCAAGGGCUGAGAAGAAGAAUGCGUUGAAAGAAUGCUGUAUAUUGAUAAAAAAAUAAUGAAUGGAGAUAGGGAUCCAUAAUUCAGAUUCCCCCCUUUGAAAGCUUAGCAGUUCUAACUGUCAGCAUAUACUAUAUGCUGUGCAUGAUUUAAUCUAUAGCUCCGAUGCAGCCCUUAGUUCAAGGUCAAAGUCCCUUGAGCUUGGGUUUUUGGUUGAUACAAUAUUAUAAGCCCUUUACUAAGAAAAACAUAUACACAUCUAAUAUCUUAAAGUUAAGUCAAUUUUGAAGAUAAUUCUCCAUCACAUUUUGCUAGGAAAAACAUCAUUUACAAGAAACCAUGCUUACUGGAAUAACCAAGAUUGCUCUAAAGAGUUCCUUCUCUACUCUAUUUAUAUAUAUAUAUGUCAAUUGUUUUUCAAAAUUCACUGUUUCAUUUUCAUUUUUAUUUAUUCCUCAAUCUCUUCUUCAAGCUUUAUUGCUUCAUUUUAGAGUUAAGGAGUUUUGAGGGUAAAAAUGAAGUGAUUACACAUUGGUAAACGCUAGGAUAUCCUUAAUACGUAUAUAUUAAGUAUAUUCUUAUAGAUAUAUUUUAUUCUUAUAAAAUCAUCAAAUGUGAAUGUCAAGUGAUCGACACUUUUUUUCAAUAGUCCUUAGACAUUUCAGUGGACUAAAACGAAAUGCAAAAACAUUUCAGGCAUUUACGGAUACAAUUAUUGGUCCUCUAAGUGUUCACAUAUCCUACGGACACACAAUUAUUGGUCCUCUCAGUGUUCACAUAUCCUGCCAGCAUUGCAACCUUUUCAUACCCAAUUUCUCUAGAAGCACUGUACUGCCUCAGCCCUAAAGUAUUAUUGCGAAGGUGAGAUCAUCCAAUCCAUAUUUCAAUUGGAGGGAUCAAUACACUUGAUAAAUCUAACUUAAUAGCUUUGCUCACUUCGUGUGCCCACAAAGGCACUGAUGCCAUAGCUGAGCAUCUCUUUGUGUCUUUUCAGUUUGAUCACUCCAUCAAACCCUCACAGCUAAUAUAGCAUCUCCCACAGAAGAUUCUCAGUGUUUUGGAUAUACCCUACCCAACUAAUCAUACAUGAGUAGUGUACCCGGAUUCCAUGGAUUGGAAGUGCUUGGAGCUGCAGCAAGUGGAGAUGCAAUGAAAAUUGCCAUUCCAUAUGUUCUUAUUGCACAUUCUCACAUAGUUACAUAGAUUAGAUAUUUACAAGAGAUUAUACAAAUUUUCUUACAAGGUGGCAUGGUUCUGGUUGGCUAUUUGAUCGGCAUUUAUAAAGAUCCCAUGGAAUCCAUAUGGAACUCUAGCAGGCAGCUCUAUAGAAGCCACUAUCUCAAGCGUGGGUGAUUUGGCAUCCAUGACCAAAAGCUCCGAGACACCACUUUCCUCAUCGUGGACAUAGCUUAAGACAUAUCCAUCAUCUUCCUCCUUGCCAUUCGCCACAAAGAAAGGCUCUCCACAAAACUGACCUCGUUUGAAUCUCCUUGACGCCACAAUGCACGGCUCGUUGAGGUCCGGGUCACUCGUUCCAUCGAUGACCACCCUGGGCAGCCGUGGAGCGUCCAGAUCGACCUUGGCCAGGCCCGAGAUUUUCGGCCAUGGCCCAUAGUAGCACAUGUAGACGUACCGAUUCUUCCGCCCCAGGAACUUCUGGUUGAUCUGUCCAAAAUCCAGUCCGGCCGAGCACACGUGUUGCUUCCACGACCGUCCAGAUCGAAGGUCCAGGUGGAUCUCGUGCAAUCUGUUGGACAAUCCGGCGAAAUCGUCAAAGAAAUGUUCUACCGGCGUAAUGGACGAGCUGAGCACGACGAUCUUGUCCGUCCCUUCCUCCCAAGCGUUGAUGUAGUGGAAUGACGUCCAAUCCGGGACGUCGAUCCAGCGAAUGCCGGAAGAGCCCACGGUCGGGAUGCGAGGGAUCACCCCGAAUCUAGGAACCUUGGCGGUAUCUCCAUCAAUGACCAGUUUGUUCUUGAGCAAUACAUCCUGGAACUUCAUCACGAGCUGAUUCUCUGGAAGGAUUGCGUAGUUCUCUGUUAUCGCGAAGUCGUGAAACAAGCACGGGUCCGGCAGCCACACGUCGAAAUCGGGGCUCUUCCUCCCGUUCGGGCUCGCCCAGAAGUAGCGGAGGUGGGGAUUGAUCACUGGAUUGAAGCUAACCGCGAAGAGCUCGCCAGAGAUUGGAUCGAUCUUUGGAUGAGCGCACAUCGGCAAGAACAAUCGCUUGUUGAAGCUGUAGCGGCCCAUGGUGAUCAAAUCCCCUGCUGGGGUGAUACUCACGGCAUAUGGCAUAUCAUCCUCGGACAUGGCCAGGAUUCGGCGAUCGAAGUAGGCCAUCCCAGCGUUGGAGGUUCCCAUCCCGCCCAAGAUAUUGAUCAGGCCCAGAGCCGUGCGCAUCACGAAUAGCCCGAAUCGUGCGAGCCCCGCAUAGCUGCUCAUGGUGCCCAGUGUGUAGGGGAAGAGAGGCUUGCCCGCUGCUUGCUCCUGGACGAAUCGAUUGUUCUGGGUGAAUCGCGCGCAGUAGACUGGAGCUUGAUCUUCUUCAUCGCCGAACUUGACAGAGUGGAGCAUCCCGUGGCCGUCGAAGUAGUUGUAGCCGGCGGGAGGAGGAUGGAGUGGAUUGGAGCCAUUGCGGAUGUAAGCACCGCCGCGGAGGCAGCGAGGGAUCGAGCCAGUGACUCGGCGGCACGGCGUUGGCGGGAACUCUCCAACCGGCGCGAAAUUAUCCGCGAGCUGGAUCUUGGGGUCUUGCGAGGGAGGAAACUCGCGAAGAUCAAUGUACGUGGAGAUGAAAUUCUCCACCGUGUCGCACAGGGCUACCGCCGCCGCCCGCGCCUCUUCGAUUGGAUUGGGGAUUGAGAAUCCAGGGGUAUUGAUAUACUUGCGAGAGGAUUUGGUGGCGGUGGCUGUGAUCCCUGAUGAUCUUCUCUUGGGUGGAGAUGGGAAGGAGAAGUUGGUAAGGCUAUAACCAAUAUCAAUCCCAGCUGUGGCAUGCAUGACAGAAUCAACGACUAAAAACAGUGCCAUUGGCAUACAUAAAUACAUUGAUCCCUCCAAUCGAAUUGGAUUGGACUCUCUGAGCCACACCAUUCGCAUAGAUAAGAUGAUGGCGCGAUAGAGAAAGUUUUUAAGGCUUACUCUGAGGAUUCUAGCUACUUGGGAUGUCGACCAAUUAGAAGCAAUGCGCGUGAGAACAAUGUCGGCAUUUGGAGAUGUCUAGCUUUCCUCUCGUACCCGUCUAGGAAGCAUGGGACCUUACCUUUACAGGAUGCAAUGUAAACAUUUGGAGAUGUCUAGCUUUCCUCUUGUACCCGUCUAGGAAGCAUGGGACCUUACCUUUACAGGAUGCAAUGUAAACAUUUGGAGAUGUCUAGCUUUCCUCUUGUACCCGUCUAGGAAGCAUGGGACCUUACCUUUACAUGAUGCAAUGUAAAUCCUGAGCACUCGAGUGUCCCACAUAAGAAAGUACUCUCUGCGCGAAAUAUCAUCUCUGUUUGGUUUUGCUGGAUGGAAUAGAGAACUGUAUCAAAUUUCUUCCACCUAGCUGGCAAUGACGUGGACACUCCCAUCUAAUAGGAAAAAUUGGCUAAGUUUACAGUUAGUCUUAAGGAGAAGCCCACUGCAGUGUGCUGCACCCCUCAAUUUUGAUCCAUCUCCUUCUUGAGACCAAAAGUGGCUGCGAAGUGAUCAAGACCUGGGAGAAAAACCCAUUUUGGGUUUUAGAGAGGAUCUCACAUCUACAUCCUCCAACUAUCUUCCAGUACGUCCAAUGGAUGCAUGACCUUCUGUGCCGGUCAGAAAACGAGAAAGACCGUCGGACGGCGGACGGACAGAUGCGAAGGUGUAUUGCCAAUUAGGUUGAGAGAGAUUAAAACAAGAUGGUGUUUAACGGGAUGCUCCAGCCACAAAUAGAUCAAGCACCUUGCGGCGGGAAAUUAUUUGACGUCCAAUUUGGUGGUGCAGUGUAUAUAAGCCACAGAUGGCAUGGCAGCUCUAGAUUGAGCAAUUGGUUCUCGUGGAAUGCCAUGCUCUUCGCCUUCACAUCUCUUGACCAGGCCAAGCAGCUGGUUGAUUGAAUGCCCGAGUGGGACGAUCAUGAUCACUGCCUUCUCUUGGUAUGGAUUCCUCCAACAAGCAGACGACAUUCCUGAUUAUGCCAGUAACAGGCAUUUGGAUAAAGUAAUGCCAGAAAGGAGCUUAAUCUCUUGGAGCACGAUUCUAUCAAAUGUGCCAAUUAGGGAGGUCUUGUACCUAUGCCAAAGUCUGCAUUUGCAAAAGGCAAAGAGAAUUUUGUUGGGCUCCCUCAGAAGUGCUUGUAUGCUUGGCUUGGCGGAAAGUGAGUCCAUGGAGCAACAACAAUAGAAUUGUUGAAAAAAUUUCUUAAUGCAGACGCUUUUUCUUGCAAUGUAAUGCUGCCCUGAUUUGCUCUAAUGCCAGGAAAGGGCAUCUGGAAAAGCUAAAGAAUCGAAGGUGUGUGUGGACUGCCAUGCUGACAGCAUGUAAACAACCAAAGGUUAGAGAAAACGUUGUGAAUUUUGAAAAAAUGCUAGAUCACAUAUCAUAGUAUGGAGCCAAGUAACAGUGCUCCAUAUGUUCUUAUUGCCAAUUCUCACAUAGUUACAUGGAUUAGUAAUUACAAGAGAUUAUAUCAACUUACAACUAUAUCAAAAUUUCUUACAAAGUGGCAUGGUUUUGGUUAGCUAUUUGAUCGGCAUUUAUAAAGAUCCCAUGGAAUCCAUAUGGAACUCUAGCAGGCAGCUCUAUAGAAGCCACUAUCUCAAGCGUGGGCGAUUUGGCAUCCAUGACCAAAAGCUCUGACACACCAUUUUUCUCAUCGUGGACGUAGCUUAAGACGUAUCCAUCGUCUUCUUCCUCGCCAUUCGCCACAAAGAAAGGCUCGCCACAAAACUUACCACGAAUGUCCUUGACGCAACAAUGCACGGCUCGUUGAGGUCCGGGUCACUUGUUCCGUCGAUUACCGCCCUGGGCAGCCGUGGAGCGUCCAGAUCGACCUUCGCCAGGCCCGAGAUUUUGGGCCAUGGCCCAUAGUAGCACAUAUAGACGGACCGAUUCUUCCGCCCCAGGAAUUUCUGGUUGAUCUGUCCAAAAUCAUGUUGCUUCCACGACCGUCCAGAUCGAAGGUCUAGGUGGAUCUCGUGCAAUCUGUUGGGCGAUAUCGUCAAACAGAUGUUCCACCGGCGUGAUCGACGAGCUGAGCACUGUUACGGUGGCAAGCCGUACGAUGUAUGGACAGACACCAGUGCCAGCUAGGACGCCAGGAGACGCGUCGUUUUUGGUUGUAUAUUGACCAAAAUCUCAUGAAUGAAAAUUCAUUCGAUGGUCAAACACAACAUGGUAUCGGAGCAGAUCUAUGAUCCUGGAUGACGAGAAGGAGAAACCAGCGUAGGAUGCGUAGGCGUGCAAUAGCAACAGCAAGACGCAUCACUAGGAGGAGAUUGUUGGCUCGGGUAGUUAGGGUUCUAGUUGCAAACUGGAAUACGACUGGACCGAGUGGAUAGGGGCGCCUCCUACCGAGAUGGCAGCGCCACCUCAGCCCCCUCCUCUUCCUCUUCGUCCUACAGCACCGCCUUCCUUAUCGGGUUUAUCUUUGCCGCAAACUCUUCACGAUGGCGAUGUCUGAGGCUGACCACCUCCCCACACACAUCGCUGCCGUUACUUGGCGCGAUGUAACAACCGCGUUGAAGAACACAGAACUGAGGCGCAAGGCGAGUGACAAGGAGACAACCUCGUUCUACACCACUGCAAAGACGCAGCAGAAAAAGAAGCCGUUCAAAGCAAGUGGGAGCUCUUCAUCAGGGAAAUUCCCACCUUGCGAGCACUGUAAGAAGACCAAUCAUGAACCUAAGAACUGCUGGUUUAAGUUCCCAGAGAAGCGGCCCAAGAAAUCAAAAGCACUCCUAGUUCAACCACCGCUCGACAUUGAAGCACAUGCUUAUGAGCGAGUGACCACUUGACGCACGAUGCGAGGUGGUUCAAGACGCUCCAAGAGCUGGACAUGCUGGCAGGAGUAGCUGUUGGUGAUGGCCGCACUCUCAAGAUCACGGGACGUGGAACCAUACUUCUCAAACUAUGUAGUGGCUUCACAGUCACGAUUGAGAAUGUUCUCCUUGUUCCAAAACUUAGCGCCAAUCUACUUUCAGUUGGCCAGCCCACAGACUCUGGCUUUGAUCUCCGUUUCAGUAAAUCUGAUUGCUCGUUCCUUACUCCUGAUGGCAAUCUCGGAUUUGUUGGCGUACGACGUGAGAACAGAGGCCUUUACGAGCUCUGUAUGGAACCCAUUCACGCCACAGAGUUGGUGGAGAAACCUCAUCAAUUUCUCACCUUUGUGGCGGCUAAGACACAUCAUCUUGAGCUUUGCCAGCACUCUACGCAUUGCUCAACUAGCUAAGGACCAGAUGGUUGAUGGUCUUGAUCCUCAGCUUGACAGCUCUACGCACAUCUCCUUCUGCGAAGGCUGCCAGCUUGGGAAACAGCAUCGGCUCCCUUUUCCUAAGCGUGGAGCAAAACGAGCCAAAGAAGUCUUGGAGCUUGUCCAUAGCGAUAUUUGGGGCCCUGCUCCUCAUGUCUCCUUUGGCGGCUCCAAGUACUUCAUUACUUUCGUGGACGAUUACAGCAGGAAGACCUUCGUCUACUGCUUGGUCACGAAAUCCCAGGCUCUAGAUAAGUUCGAGAUCUUCAAAGCUCUUGCUGAAAAGCAAACUGGAAAACCGUUGAAGCGACUCAGAUCAGAUGGAGGUGGCGAGUAUGUCUCUCAGAAGUUUUCUGCUUUUCUUCAAAAGCAUGGAAUUCAAAGAGAGCAAACCGCCCCGUAUUCCUCUCAGCAGAACGGUGUUGCAGAACGCAAGAACCGGAGCUUGAUAGAUGCCGCAAAUAGCAUGCUUCAAGCCAACCGCGUUCCUGCUACGUUCUGGGCUGACGCAGUUAUGACCGCCUGCUAUCUACAAAAUCGGCUCCCUACAAAAGUCGUGGUUGGAAAAACACCUGAAGAAGCCUGGUCAGGCCGCAAGCCAGCCAUAGAUCACUUGCGUAUCUUUGGAUGUGAGGCCUACACUCACGUCCCCAAGGCCAUCAGAAAGAAGCUUACGCCCACCAGCGAGCGAGGCAUCUUUCUUGGCUAUAGCCUGGAGCACAAGGCUUACAGGAUUUUCAACCUAGUCUCCAGGAAGCUGACUAUCUCCCGCGACGUUCACUUCAAUGAGAAUGCCACUCGUUCUCAUCCAGUGGGAGAUCUCUUCCCUCCUGCCCCGAUUCUUCCAACUGAAGACUCUUCUUCAACCUUGGAACCGGUGGUAGUCUCUCCUAUCUUGCCGCUGCAAGUGGGAGCUUCCAGAGCGCCAGAUCUCCAGGUGGGAGAUCUACGCGUUCCGGUUUUGCCAAAUUCGCCGAACAGGGGUGCCCUAUCCCCUGUUCGGCCUCAACCGAGAUUCUCCUCGAGGCCCUCCGGAGCAACCUGCAGUACCUCCGGAUCAGCCUCCCCGCCGGUCUUCCCGGUCGAAUUUAGGUGUCCCUCCGCAGCGGUUGAUCGAGACAAUGCUCUCGGUCGUUCAAGACAUUCCUGAAGGCUUGGUUGAGACAUUGCUUGCUGGCGUGGACAUUCCGGAAGUUCCUCGCAGCUACGUCGAUGCUCUUGCCUCUCCUAACAGAGACAAAUGGGUUGCAGCCUUUGAUGAGGAGUAUAACUCCUUUCUCAAGAACAACACCUUCUCCUUGGUGGAAAGAGCUCCGGCCGGGCGUAAACUAGUGAAAUCCAUGUGGAUUCCUAGUAUCAAGCUCAACCCAGACCACACCAUUUCUCGCUACAAGGCUCGCUUGCUGGCGAAAGGCUACUCUCAAGUGGCUGGUGUGGAUUACACUGAGACGUUUGCCCCGGUGGUCAAGCUGACUACCAUUCGCACCUUGCUCGCUUUAGCGGGUGCGCACAAUUGGCACGUACACCAGAUGGAUGUCAAGACGGCUUUCCUGAAUGGAGAGCUUGAUGAGGACAUCUAUAUGGAGCAGCCAGAAGGCUACAAGGUCCCAGGACAAGAGAGCCACGUUUGGAAGCUCCACAAGGCGAUUUAUGGCUUGAAGCAAGCCUCUCGCCAAUGGUACAAAAAGCUUGAUGAUUUUCUUGUGAAAUCUCACUUUUCCAGGAGCAAGAACGAUCCGAAUCUCUACUUUAAACGAGUAGGAGAUGAAGUGAUUUACAUCGCUGUGUAUGUAGACGACACUCUACUCGUUUGCAACAGCCUUGCUUUCCUAGCUAAAAUCAAGGUGGCUUUCUCAUCUCAUUUUGAGAUGAAGGACCUUGGUGAAGCUCGCUACUGCCUUGGCAUCCAGAUUGAUCGCAGAAAAGAUGGCUCUCUCUUUCUGCAUCAAACCAAGUAUGUGGAAGAUGUCCUGCAACGAUUCGGCAUGGACUCUUGUGCGCCUGCACCCACGCCAAUGGUUGCUGGCUUAAGACUUUCAAAGGAUACGUCUCCUUCUACAGACUCGGAUAGGAGGAAAAUGGCGAACGUUCCUUACCGAAGUGCCGUGGGAAGCUUGAUGUACCUGGUGGUGUGCACGCGACCAGACAUUGCCUUCUCAGUGAGCAUGGUAAGCAGGUUUCUCGACAAUCCAGGCCCUGCACAUUGGCAAGCAGUAAAAAGAAUUUUUCGGUACUUACGAGCUACCACUUCUUUUGGCUUACUUUACACGCCAAAAGUCACACGCUUACAGGGCUACUGUGAUUCGGACUGGGCUGGUUGCCCAGAUUCACGAAGAUCACACAAAGGCUAUUUUUUUAGCUUGCAACAAGCAGCUCUUUCUUGGAGCAGCAAGAAACAGAGUGUUGUGGCCUGCUCUAGCUGCGAAGCUGAGUAUAUGGCUGCUAGCGCUGCUUGCAAGGAGGCCAUCUGGCUUCGUCGUCUUCUAACGGACAUGGAACACUCUCUUCCAGGUUCAACAGCGAUCUAUUGCGACAAUCAGGGCUGCAUUGCCUUAAGCAAGAAUCGCAAGAUCAAUUCAAGAACAAAGCACAUGGACACAGUACACCAUUUUCUUCGAGACCAGUACGAAGAUGGAAUCGUCGAGCUUGUGUAUUGUUCUACUCAGGACAUGCCUGCUGACGUUCUGACCAAGGCACUCUCCCAGCCGAAAUUUUCUCAGUUUCGGGCUGCACUUGGCGUCUGCCCGAGUGGGAGUGUUACGGUGACAAGCCGUACGAUGUACGGACAGACACCAGUGCCAGCUAGGACGCCAGGAGUGUAUAUUGACCAAAAUCUCAUGAAUAAAAAUUCAUUCGAUGGUCAAACACAAUAAGCACGACGAUCUUGUCCGUCCCUUCCUCCCACGCGUUGAUGUAGUGGAACGAUGUCCAAUCCGGGACGUCGAUCCAGCGAACGCCGGAAGAUCCAACGGUCGGGAAGCGAGGGAUCACCCCGAAUCUGGGAACCUUGGGCGGUAUCUCCAUCAAUUACCAGUUUGUUCUUGAGCACUACAUCCUGGAACUUCAUCACGAGCUGAUUCUCUGGGAGGAUUGCGUAGUUCUCUGUUAUCGCGAAGUCGUGAAACAAGCACGGGUCCGGCAGCCACACGUCGAAAUCGGGGCUCUUCCUCCCAGAAGUAGCGGAGGUGGGGAUUGAUCACUGGAUUGAAGCUAACCGCGAAGAGCUCCCCAGAGAUUGGAUCGAUCUUUGGAUGAGCGCACAUCGGCAAGAACAAUCGAUUGUUGAAGCUGUAGCGGCCCAUGGUGAUCAAAUCCCCUGCUGGGGUGAUACUCACGGCAUAUGGCAUAUCAUCCUCGGACAUGGCCAGGAUUCGGAUCGAAGUAGGCCAUCCCAGCGUUGGAGGUUCCCAUCCCGCCCAAGAUAUUGAUCAGGCCCAGAGCCGUGCGCAUCACAAACAGCCCGAAUCGUGCGAGCCCGGCAUAGCUGCUCAUGGUGCCCAGUGUGUAGGGGAAGAGAGGCUUGCCCGCUGCUUGCUCCUGGACGAAUCGAUUGUUCUGGGUGAAUCGCACGCAGUAGACUGGAGCUUGCUCGUCUUCAUCGCCGAACUUGACAGAGUGGAGCAUCCCGUGGCCAUCGAAGUAGUGGUAGCCGGCGGGAGGGGGAUGGAGUGGAUUGGAGCCAUUGCGGAUGUAAGCACCGCCGCGGAGGCAGCGAGGGAUCUCGCCAGUGACUCGGCGGCACGGCGUUGGCGGGAACUCUCCAACCGGCGCGAAAUUGUCCGCGAGCUAGAUCUGGGGGUCUUGCGAGGGAGGAAACCCGCGAAGAUCAAUGUACAUGGAGAUGAAAUUCUCCACCGUGUCGCACAGGGCUACCCCGCGCCUCUUCGAUCGGAUUGGGGAUUGAGAAUCCAAGGGUAUUGAUAUACUUGCGAGAGGAAUUGGUAGUCGUGGCUGUGAUCCUCGAUGAUCUUCUCCUGGGUAGAGCAGGAAAGGAGAAGUUGGUAAGGCUAUAACCAAUAUCAAUGCCAGCUGUGGCAUGCAUUGAGACACAAUCAACGACUAAGAACAGUGCCAUUGGCAUACAUACAUUGGUCUCUCCAAUCGAAUUUCAGAGCUAUGGAUUGGGCCACACGCCUCGCAUAGAUAAGAUCAUAUUGUAGGGCUGAGGUGGAGAAUGUUACUAGCUACUUGGGAUGUGGGGACAAUCAGAGGUUGGAAACAAUGCGCGUGAGACCAAUAAUUGUGUGUCGGUAUGCUUUUUGGAGGGGAUGAAGACUAUAGAAACAUCAUGUAAAGGUAGGGUCCCAUGCUUCUUAGACGGGUACGAGUGGACCAAAAACAAAGCUAGCUAUAUUCAAUCUAGAUUCAUGUCUCCUAACGCACCACCACACAUCUCUGCUUUAGAAUAAUGUAAUUUAGGUGGUCAUGCGUUCGCAAGCGAGGUUUUGCUGGAUGGAAUAAAGGACCGUAUCAAAUUUCGGCAGUGGGAGAUUAUUUGGCGUCCAAUUUGGUGGUGCAAUGUAUAUGAGGUGUGGAUGCCCAUAGGUGGCAGGACAAGUCUUUUGCGGCUCUAGAUUGAGGAAUUGAAUGUCACCAAGCAACUGGUUGAUUGAAUGCCCGAGUGGGACGAGCAUGACCACUGCCCUUCUCUCGGUAUGGACUCCUCCGACAAGCAGAAGACGUUCCUGAUUAUGCCAGUAACAGGCAUUUGGAUAAAAAGCAACGAGCUAAUGCCAGAAAGGAGCACGAUUAUGUAGGGAUAUGGUCUUGUUUCUUGCCCUGGUUUGCUCUUAUUACAGCUGGAAAAGUUAAAGCAUCGAAUGUGUGAAACGACGAUGUGAACUGCCAUGCUGACAGCAUGUAAACAACCAAAGGUUAGAGGGGUGAAAAAAGGCUGGAUCACAGCGUGAUCGGCAUACGCCCGGAAUGGGCAUAUGGUUUUGCUAAGAGAAUAUUUGGAUGCGAAUUUUAGUUUGCUUGAUGUGCAUUGUAACAUUUUUUUUUUCUUUCUGAGCAGAAUUAAGAUAGUUCUGCUGCGAUUUGACUAGCAAAGAAUUGGCAGCGUGGAACUUUUGCUGUUGUUCAUCAUUUUCCUGUGUUUACUCUCUUAAAUUUUGGUAACGAUCUGCUAAAGGAGAAAAAUUUCUGAAGAUCCUUCCAUAACAGUUUCACGUUUGCAGAACUGGCAAACUCUAGCCAAUAGAGCAUUAGGUAUAAACCAUGAAAUGAAGGGAAGUUUCUUCCACGACAGGUUUCAUCCAGACACAAAAUAUUUGUUGAAGUCUGAAAGUUCCACGCUGCCAAUUCUUCGCUAGUCAAAUCGCAGCAGAACUAUCUUAAUUCUGCUCAGAAAGAGAAAAAAAUGCUACAAUGCACAUCAAGCAAACUAAAAUUCGCAUCCAAAUGUUCUCUUAGCAAAACGUUAUCCGGCCUUUUUUUAACAUUCACAGCGCUCCCUCUAACCUUUGGUUCUUUACAUGCUGUCAGCAUGGCAGUUCACAUUGUCGUUUCACACAUUCAAUGCUUUAACUUUUCCAGCUGUAAUAAGAGCAAACCAGGGCAAGAAACAAGACCAUAUCCUUAAAUAAUCGUGCUCCAGGAGAUUAAGCUCCUUUCUGGCAUUAGCUCGUUGCUUUAUCCAAAUGCCUGUUAGUGGCAUAACUGCUUGUCGGAGGAAUCCAUACCGAGAGAAGGCAGUGGUCAUGCUCGUCCCACUCGGGCAUUCAAUCAACCAGCAUCAUUUCCUGGAUCUAGAGCCGCAAAAGACUUGCCAUGCCACCUAUGGGCAUCCACGCCUCAUAUACAUUGCACCACCAAAUUGGACGCCAAACAAUCUCCCGCCACUGAGGGCUUGAUCUCAUUGUGGCUGGACGUGGGUAAAUUGGAUGUGGUUCUUUAUUCCAUCCAGCAAAACCUCGUUUGCGAACGCAUGACCAUCGAAAAUUACAUUAUUCUAAAGCAGAGAUGAUAUUUCGUGUGGGGGGCGUUAGGAGACAUGAAUCUAGAUUGAAUAUAUCUAGCUUUGUUUUUGGUCCACUCGUGCCCGUCUAGGAAGCAUAGGACCUUUACCUUUUCAUCCCCUCCAAGAAGCAUGCCGACACACAAUUAUUGGUCUCACGCGCAUUGUUUCCAUUCAAGACAGAGUAAGCCCUAAAAUAUCGAUCUUAUCUCAAGACCAUCAUAGCUCUAAAAUUCGAUUGCAGGGAUCAAUAUAUUCAGGUAUGCCAAUUACACAGUUAAUUUGGUCGCAAUGUCUGGGCCUGAUCAAUAUCUUCGGUGGGAUGGGAUCGAUAUCAACCAGCGUUGGAGGUUUCGCCGAAUCCUGGCUAUGUCCGAGGAUGAUAUGCCAUAUGCCAUGAGUAUCACCCCAGGAGGGGAUUUGAUCACCAUGGGCCGCUACAGCUUCAACAAGCGAUUGUUCUUGCUGAUGUGCACUCAUCCAAAGAUCGAUCCAAUGUCUGGUGAGCUCUUCGCGGUUAGCUUCAAUCCAGUGAUCAAUCCCCACCUCCGCUACUUCUGGGAGGAAGAGCCCCGAUUUCGACGUGUGGCUGCCGGAUCCGUGCUUGUUUCACGACUUCACGAUAACAGAGAACUACGCAAUCCUUCCAGAGAAUCAGCUCAUCCAGGAUGUAGUGCUCAAGAACAAACUGGUCAUUGAUGGAGGUACCGCCAAGGUUCCCAGAUUCGGGGUGAUCCCUUGCAUCCCGACUGUUGGAUCUUCCGGCGUUUGCUGGAUCGAUGUCCUGGAUUGGACAUCAUUCCACUACAUCAACACGUAGGGACGGACAAGAUUGUUAUGAGUGGUUGUGUUGUAUCUGGCUUAGGUCUAAACCAAAAACUUCAGCUAUUUUAUACCCAACACUGUUCAAAGGGAAGCACAGGCAAAUCAAACAACGAACAUAGCCCAGCUACACAUACGUACAUUCUGGGCCCAACUCAUCGGGUGGAUCGCACAGAGGUUGGUGUGCUCGAGCAGCUCCGUGUCCUUCCAGCGAACACACCCAAAUCAGACAACGAACACAUCCCAGCUCGUCUGGGCCCGGGACCUGAGGAACAUCAGCUUCAGCGACGACUUCAGGCCGGCAGGUUGCAGUCAAGGCGGUCAGAGUGCGGUCAAGGUUCAUGCAGGUGACGUUUGGGAGGAUGUUUACCGCGCGGCAGACACACAGAAAGUUGUAGUUGUCGGGGCGAUGUCGGGAACAGUGGCAGCGGCAGGGGGCUAUGUUCAGGUGGCUCGUCCAUUAGGCCGGUGGAACAUCUGUUUGACGAUAUCACCGGAUUGUCCAGCAGAUUGCACGAGAUCCACCUGGACCUUCGAUCUGGACGGUCGUGGAAGAAACACGUGUGCUCGGCUGGACUGGAUUUUGGACAGAUGAAUCAGAAAUUCCUGGGGCGGAAGAAUCGGUACGUAUACAUGUGCUACUAUGGCCAUGGCUCAAAAUCUCAGGCCUGGCCAAGGUCGAUCUGGACGCUCCACCGCUGCCCAGGCGGUAAUCGAUGGAACAAGUGACCCGGAUCUAAACGAGCCAUGCGUUGUGGCGUCGAGGAGAUUCGAACGUGGUAAGUUUUGUGGUGAAUGGCGAGGAGGAAGACAAUGGAUACGUCAUUUUAAGCUCCGUGCAUAAUGAGAAAAAUGGUGGAUGCCAAAUCACCCACGCUUGAGAUAAUGGCUUCUAUAGAGUUGCCUGUUAGAGUUCCAUAUGGAUUCCAUGGAAUCUUUAGAAAUGCCAAUCAAAUAGCUAACCAAAACCAUGCCACCUUCUAAGAAAAUUUGAUAUAGUUAUAUAAUCUCUUGAAAAUAUCUAAGCUAUGUAAUUAUGUGAGAAUUGGCAAUAAGAACAUAUGGAGCACUGUUACUAGGCUCCACACUAAUGGCAUUUUUCAUUGCAUCUCCACUCGCUACAGCUCCAAGCAAGCACUUCCAAUCCAUGGAAUCUGGGUAAUAUGGCAUCUCCCACAGAAGAUUCUCAGCGUCUUGGAUAUACCUUGACUGGACAAGCACACCAAUCAUACACAAGUAGUGUUGCUUUGAGGGUUUGAUGGAGUGAUCAAACUGGAAAGACACAAAGAGAUCCCGAGCUAUGGCAAUAGUGCCUUUGUGAGCACACGAUGUGAGCAAAGCUGUUAAGCUAGCUCCAUCAGGUGUAUUAGUAGUGACCAUGGUUUGCAAAGCAUCCAAGGCUCUGGAAAUGGCCCCAAUCCGAGAGUAUGCCGCCAGCAUUGUGUCCCAAGAUAUGAGAUCCUUGUCCGGCAUUGUUAAGAAUAUCCGAUUUGCCAUAUCCAGAUGCCCGUUUUGGGUAUAUGCAGAAAGAGUUGCACUCCAUGAAGAUUGGUUUCUUUCUUGGAUUGAAUCGAACACACUUUUGACCUGAGCAUUUGAUGCAAAACCACACAAGAGAGCAUUGAAAGCAAUAGCGCUCUUUUCAUUGGAGUUGUCAAAAAUUCUCUUGGCAAGAAGCAUAUGUCCACUUCGGGCAUAUGCCGACACGAGCACAAUCAGUGGUAUUUCGCCGUGACCUGGCAUUUUUUCAAAAAUACACAGGGCGUCCUCUAGCCUGUGGUUGUUUACAUAUCCUGUCAGCAUGGCAGUCCAGGUAACCUCGUUUCGCUCCCUCAUUCCAUCAAAGAGUUUCUUUGCCUUUUCCAGAUGCCCGUUGCUAGCAUAUGCUGUAAUGAGAGCGGUUGCCGGGACUAAAUGCUCGCCUUGAUCAGGCAGACCUAAAUAUAUGGCUUCGGCGUCGUGAGUCCGUCCUCGCCGAGAAUACAAGCGCAGCAUUGCAGUGCAAGCAAACGCGUUGUGGCGCUGCAUGUUGUAAAAAAUUUGCUGAGCCUCCGCGAUGCUGCUGUCGUCGUGAUCUGCGUAAGCGGACAGGAUUACCGCGCAUGAAACCACAUCGGUACACUCCAUCGACUCAAACAGAUUCUUUGCCUCGUGAAAGCAGCCACUUUCCACCAAGACGACAAGCAAAACCGUGGAGGCAACCAAAUCCUUGUGAGGCAGCGCGAGGAAGAAACACUUGGCAUCUUCCAAAAGCCCGUGCUGGCCAAAGCACUGAAUCAUGGACGUAAAAGACAGAGCAUCAAAUUCUGGCAUGUUGGAGAAGAUGCCCUUCGCCUCCUGCAAAUGCCCAGCCUGGGCAAGUGCUGAUAGUUGAGUGUUCCAAGCAACAAGAUCUCUCUCAGGCAUGGAGCUAAAGAGUGUCGUUAUUUGAAACAAGUUGGUGGAUUUGGAUAGAAUUGUGGUCCAAGAGAUGAAGCUCCUUUCUGGCAUAAGCUCAAAGAGCUGCAUUGCUUUAUCCAAAUGCCCGUUUGUGGCAUAUGCUAAGAUCAUUGCAUUCCAUGCUACAAGGCCUCUCUCUCUUAUGGAAUCGAAAACUUCUUUUGCCCGUAGGAGUAAGCCAUGCCGAGAGAAGGCAGUGAUCAUGAUCGACCAUGAAGCAACAUCCCAUUCGGGCAUUCGAUCAAACAACUGCUUUGCUUGGUCAAGGUGGCUGUUUGAUGCGAAGGCAGAGAGCAUGGCAUUCCACGAGAAUCGAUUCCGUGAUGUAGAGCCGCGGAAGAUUUGCCAUGCUGCCUCUGGGCAUCCACACCUCCCAUACAUUCGCACCACCAAAUUGCAUGCCAAGCAGUCUCCUGCUGCGAGGAGGUGCUCAAUCUCAUUGUGGAGCUUAGAGGCUGUGGAUAGAUUGGUACACUUCUUUAUUGCAUCCAACAAAAGCUCUCGACAAUCUAGUGUUAACAUGGUUCUCUACCAUAUAAUCAUGCACAAUCUUGGAUGGUUCCUUGGUUGUUGUAGAAACAAUCAUCAAUUCGGAGAUUAGUUUCAUGAUCAACAUUACUUUUAUCUUUGCACUUCGCAUAAUAGACCACCUUUGGGAUGGUUUCAUUGUUAUACAUGAAACCCAUGGGCGUGCAAAGAAAAUUUCUUGACGAGUUAAUGUUUUAAGAAGGUACUGAGGUGUCUCUAAGAAAUUUGCCCCGCCACACUUUAAAUUCCCAUUAUCAUUGUGGAUGUGAGUGUUCAAGACCAAAUAUUAGACACCAGUCUACAUGAAUAAUGGUUGAGCUGAAUUCAGCUAUAUGACAAGUAAGUGAGAAAUUCCCACAUCCAAAUGUUUUAGGAAUGAUCAAAGCAGCAAGCGAGGCAACAAUAGAAACUAUCAAUUGCACACCCAUUCUAAAAAUUAGUUUUUUGAAGUACAAACGCUGAGAUUUAUUGGCAAGUGAAAAUCCAAUCAACCUUUAUGGAGCAAAAUUUUUUGCCAUGUAGUCCACGUAGGAUUCGGUGAUGAAGUAGCUAAAUAUUCUUAUUGAUGAACAAACAUAUUCGAGAACAUUGGGGUUGUCAAACAUUCUCUUCGCAAAAAGCACACGUCCAUUUCGGGCAAGAGCACAAUCUGCUAUCACGCUGUGAUCAGCAUUGUUUCGAACGCUUCCUCCAACUUCUGGUAGUUAACAUACCCUGUCAGCAUGGCGGUCCACGUAACCUCGUCUCGUCAUUCAUCAAAGAGAUUCUUUAGAUGUUGCCGGACUAAAUGAUCGCUUUGAUCAGGCAGACCUAAAUAUAUGGCUUCGGCGUCAUGAGUCCGUUCUUGAGAAUACAGCGCAGCAUAUGCCAAUUAAGGACCCUUUUUUAUGCCGAGAGAUUUUGUUUCUUGGAACUUUCAUCUGCCUAAGCUGGGCAUGAAGAACAUCUUUUCCAACAUGCCAGAAUUUGCUCCUUUGUCGUUCACGCCCAGUGCUUUGGCCACCCUCAUAAGGAUUUGGUUGCGUCCACUGCUUUUCUUGUCAUCUUGGCGGAAAGUGGCUGCUUCACGAGUCCAUUGUCUUGUGCUGUGCUUGCGCAGAUCACGACGACAGUUGAGGCUGAGCAGAAUUUUUACAGCAUGCAGCGUUUAUGUUUAAGAGAUUAGCUCCUUUCCGGCAUAAGCUCAAAGAUGCACUCACACACACACACACACAAUUCAUGGAAUAAAAAACAGGAGUAAGCCAUGCUGAGAGAAGGCAGUGAUUGUGAUCGACCAUGAAGCAAGGUCCCAUUCGAUCAAACAACUGCUUUGCUUGGUCAAGAUGGCUGUUUGAUGUGGCAUGGCAUUCCAUUCCUCGAUCUAGAUACUUGCCAUGCCGCCUCAGGGCAUCCAAACGUCCCAUACAUUUGCACCAGAAAAUUGGAUGCCAAACAAUCUCCUGCCGCAAGGACGUGCUUGAUCUCAUUGUGAAGCUUACAAGCUGCAGGUAGAUUGCUACACGUUUUUAUUCCAUCCAAUAAAACCUCUUGACCAUACAUUGCUCUCUAUGAGAAAAAAAGCAUAUCUGUUGAUGCAAUCUUGGCUAGUGCCUUGAGAUUUGUAGAAACAAUCAUCGAUUCGGAGAUUAGUGUCUUGACCUACACCACCAUCGUCUUUGCAGCUUUGGGAUUUCCAUUUGUAAAAUUCAAACAUGCAUGUCGAAAGUGGGGCUGUAAAUUAAUACGCGAUCGCGAUCGGUACAGAUUCUUCAAACCGUGAUGUCACACCGCUUUGCCAGUGGGAAUCGCAUAUUAUGUUUGCUAGUACUGAAUUUACAUUAGUUCUAAGCAUAGAUCCAUAUAAAUUAUGGAGAGAAUUUUUUGCCUGCAACUAAGAAUCUAGUCCCGCCACACUUCAAAACUAGGAACCUUCAAACUUUCCAAGGACACACUGUUCUACAUGACUAUUGGUUAUAUUGAAUUCACUUACAAAGCGAAAUCCCCCAGAAAUGAUCCAAGCAGCAAGUCACACAACAAUCACUUGUACAACCAUUCUUAAAAUUUGGUUUUGAGGCAAGGAUAACAAUCUCAAUCUCGGUCAUGGAAGCAACAUGUGUGCUCGGCGGGACUGGAUUUUGGAAAGAUCAACCAGAAAUUCCUGGGGCAGAAGAACCGGUACGUCUACAUGCGCUACUAUGGGCCAUGGCCCAAAUUGUCGGGCGUGGCCAAGGUCGAUCUGGACCCCACGGCUGUCCAGUGUGGUAAUUGAUGGAACAAGUGACCCGGACCUCAAGGAGCCGUGCAUUGUGGUGUCAAGGAGAUUCGAACGUGGUAAGUUUUGUGGCGAAUGGUGAGGAGAAAGGGGAUGGAUACGUCUUAAGCUACGUCCAUGAUGAGAAAAAUGGGGUCUCGGAGCUUUUGGUCAUAGAUGCCAAAUCACCCACACUUUGAGACAGUGGCUUUUCUAGAGUUGCCUGCUGGAGUUCCAUAUGGAUUCCAUGGGAUCUUUAUAAAUGCCGAUCAAAUAGCUAACCAAAACCAUGGCACCUUGUGAGAAAAUUUGAUAUAGUUGUGAAAAUUGAUAUAAUCUUUUGAAAAUAUUUAAGCUAUGUAACUAUGUGAGAAUUGGCAAUAAGAACAUAUGGAGCACUGUUACUAGGCUCCACACUAAUGGCAUUUUUCAUUGCAUUGUAACUAUGUGAGAAUUGGCAAUAAGAACAUAUGGAGCACUGUUACUAGGCUCCACACUAAUGGCAUUUUUCAUUGCAUCUCCACUCGCUACAGCUCCAAGCAAGCACUUCCAAUCCAUGGAAUCUGGGUAGUAUGGCAUCUCCCACAGAAGAUUCUCAGCAUCUUGGAUCUGACAAGCACACCAAUCAUACACGAGUAGUGUUGCUUUGAGGGUUUGAUAGAGUGAUCAAACUGGAAAGACACAAAGAGAUCCCGAGCUAUGGCAACAGUGCCUUUGUGAGCGCACAACGUGAGCAAAGCUGUUAAACUAGCUUCAUCAGGUGUAUUAGUAGUGACCAUGGUUUGCAAGGCAUCCAAGGCUCUCAAAAUGGCCCCAAUCCAAGAGUAUGCUGCCAGCAUUGCAUCCCAAGGUAUGAGAUCCUUGUCCGGCAUUGUUAAGAAUAUCCGAUUUGCCAUAUCCAGAUGCCCGUUUUGGGUAUAUGCAGAAAGCAUUGCACUCCAUGAAGAUUGGUUUCUCUCUUGGAUUGAAUCAAACACACUUUUGGCUUCCAGUAACUGAGAAUUUGAUGCAAAACCAGACAAGGGAGCAUUGAAAGCAAUAGCGCUCUUUUCAUUGGAGUUGUCAAAAAUUCUCUUGGCAAGAAGCAUAUGUCCACUUCGGGCAUAUGCCGACAUGAGCACAAUCAGCGGUAUCUCGCUGUGACCCGGCAUUUUUUCGAAAAUCCACAGGGCGUCUUCUAUCCUGUGGGUUGUUUACAUAUCCUGUCAGCAUUGCAGUCCACAUAACCUCGUUUCGCUCCUUCAUUCCAUCAAAGAGUUUCUUUGCAGACCUAAAUAUAUGGCUUCGGUGUCGUGAGUCCGUCCUCAUCGAGAAUACAAGCGCAGCAUUGCAGUGCAAGCAAACGCGUUGUGGCGCUGCAUGGUGUAAAAUAUUUGCUCAGCCUCCGCGAUGCUACUGUCCUCGUGAUCUGCGUAAGCGGACAGGGUUACCGCGCAUGAAACCACAUCGAUACACUCCAUCGACUCAAACAGAUUCUUUGCCUCGUGAAAGCAGCCACUUUCCGCCAAGACGACAAGAAAAACCGUGGAGGCAACCAAAUCCUUGUGAGGCAGCGCGAGGAAGAAACACUUGGCAUCUUCCAAAAGGCCGUGCUGGCCAAAGCACUGAAUCAUGGACGUAAAAGACAGAGCAUCAAAUUCUGGCAUGUUGGAGAAGAUGUGCUUCGCCUCCUGCAAAUGCCCAGCUUGGGCAAGUGCUGAUAGUUGGGAGUUCCAAGCAACAAGGUCUCUCUCAGGCAUGGGGCUGAAGAGUGUCGUUAUUUGAAACAAUUUGGUGGAUUUGGAUAGAAUUGUGGUCCAAGAUAUUAAGCUCCUUUCUGGCAUAAGCUCAAAGAGCUGCAUUUCUUUAUCCAAAUGCCCGUUUGUGGCAUAUGCUAAGAUCAUUGCAUUCCAUGCUACAAGGCCUCUCUCAUGGAAUCGAAAACUUCUUUCGCCUGUAGGAGUAAGCCAUGCCUAGAGAAGGCAGUGAUCAUGAUUGACCAUGAAGCAACAUCCCAUUCGGGCAUUCGAUCAAACAACUGCUUUGCUUGGUCAAGGUGGCUGUUUGAUGCGAAGGCAGAGAGCAUGGCAUUCCACGAGAAUCGAUUCCGUGAUGUAGAGCCGCAGAAGAUUUGCCAUGCUGCUUCUGGGCAUCCACACCUCCCAUACAUUUGCACCACCAAAUUGCAUGCCAAGCAGUCUCCUACUGCGAGGAGGUGCUCAAUCUCAUUGUGGAGCUUAGAGGCUGUGGAUAGAUUGGUACACUUCUUUAUUUCAUCCAACAAAAGCUCUCGACAAUCUAGUGUUAACAUGGUUCUCUGUUGAAAAAACCAUAUAAUCAUGAACAAUCUUGGAUGGUUCCUUGGUUGUUGUAGAAACAAUCAUCAAUUCGGAGAUUAGUUUCAUGAUCAACAUUACUUUUAUCUUUGCACUUUUGUGGCAUACUCUCUCUCUCUCUCUCUCUCUCUCACUCACACACACACACAAUUCAUGGAAUAAAAAAAAGGAGUAAGCCAUGCCGAGAGAAGGCAGUGAUCAUGAUCGACCAUGAAACAAGGUCCCAUUCGAUCAAACAACUGCUUUGCUUGGUCAAGAUGGCUGUCUGAUGCGGCAUGGCAUUCCAUUCCUCGAUCUAGAUACUUGCCAUGCCGCCUCAGGGCAUCCACACCUCCCAUACAUUUGCACCAGAAAAUUGGAUGCCAAACAAUCUCCUGCCGCAAGGACGUGCUAGAUCUCAUUGUGAAGCUUACAAGCUGCAGAUAGAUUGCUACACGUUUUUAUUCCAUCCAAUAAAACCUCUUGACCAUACAUUGCUCUCUAUGAGAAAAAAAGCAUAUCUGUGGAUGCAAUCUUGGCUAGUGCCUUGAGAGUUGUAGAAACAAUCAUCGAUUCGGAGAUUAGUGUCUUGACCUACACCACCAUCGUCUUUGCAACUUUGGGAUUUCCAUUUGUAAAAUUCAAACAUGCAUGUCUCAAUUUGAGAAAGUGGGGCUGUAAAUUAAUAUGCAAUCGCGAUCGGUAAAGAUUCUUCAAACCGUGAUAUCACACCCGUAUAAAACCUUUGCCAGUGGGAAUCGCAUAUUAUGUCUGCUAGUACUGAAUUUACAUUAGAUCUAAGCAUAGAUCCAUAUAUUAUGGAGAGAAUUUUUUGCCAGCAUCUAAGAAUCUAGUUCCACCACAUGAUCAUUGUGGAUCAUUCAAAACUAAGAAAUUUCAGACUUUCCAGGGACACACUGUUCUACAUGACUAUUGGCUAUAUUGAAAGUGCUUACAAAGCGAAAUCCCCCAGAAAUGAUCAAGCCACACAACAAUCACUUUGUACAACCAUUCUGAAAAUUUGACUAUCUCAAUCCAGAGAUGAAACCAGCAUAGAGCAGAAUUUCACAGGAGGUUCAUGGAUGAUCCAAUCCAAUUGAUGGUGAUCACUGUCAAUCAAAUCCUCGAGAAGUUUGAUUGGGAAAAAUUCAAUCAAGACGCUUUUGGAGAAGCAAUUUCUAGAAAAAACUGGCGCGUCAAGGGGACUGGAAUCUCGCCACGUACGCGCAAAAAGCCACGUGGCUUGCAUAGAUUCGCCGCCACUAGGCGUGUGUUCUUGACCACGUCUGGCUCCACGCUUUCGAUUGACGCAAUAAAAGCACCAUUCCUCGUUUGGUGGCACAGUCUGUGCUCUGCGAUCUCAUCCCCUCCCAUCUCCGCUCCCUCCAAUUCGAUCAAUCCGGUAGCCAGUAGCGCUAGCAUCCAGAUCCUCUCCUCCAAUUCGCGUCAAUUCCAUGCUAUAGAUUACAGGAUCUAUGGCUUACUUCAAAUCUAUGGCAACUAUGGCGGCUGCCACGGCCACUGCAGCGAUCUACGAGGCUCGAGUCCAUCACUUCCAUCACGACUCGCCUUCCUCCUCCGCGAAUUCGCCAGAUCAUGAGCAAUUCCACCAGGAUCCCUCGUCAGGAGCGCACAGCCAAGGGGCAAGCAGCAAGAUCCAAGCUCAGGAUCACAAGAACCAAGGGGGAGGAGUGAUGGGCAGUGGUUGUAUCCCACAGCAUCAAGACCCAAGGCUCCAUUUCUUCGAUACUCUCAUCCCUGGCACUAGAUACUAGCGAUAGA